GACCUUCAGUUUGGAUGCUGGUGCUAGGUCCUCGAUUGAUCUUUUAAGUAGGAUCCUACAAAACUAUCAAAAAUAAGAAAGUUCUCAUGCUGGAGGGUUCUUCGGUGGUGGACCCUCUGAUGCUUAAGUUAGUCUCCCAUAGAAGCAAAUAGAAGAGGUCUAAGCUUGUAUAUAGAGCAUAGUAGUAGAAUCGAGUAUAAAAUGUGGUAGAUUGGAGUAAGAGAAUGAAAAGUAGAAACACAAAGGAUGUUGUGUAGAGGAUGG
RNAcentral lists this long non-coding RNA (264 nucleotides) under Elaeis guineensis (African oil palm). Its description in RNAcentral is "long non-coding RNA (EGUI_LNC003016)". The record is from RNAcentral. Lineage: Eukaryota; Viridiplantae; Streptophyta; Magnoliopsida; Arecales; Arecaceae.